RNAcentral lists this ribosomal RNA (611 nucleotides) under uncultured organism. RNAcentral's name for it is "bacterial SSU rRNA". It matches the Rfam family "Bacterial small subunit ribosomal RNA", at positions 840 to 1475 of the family's 1533-position model. The record is from RNAcentral.
UGUGUGUCGUAGUUAACGCGUUAAACAGGGCGCCUGGGAAGUACGGCCGCAAGGCUAAAACCCAAAGGAAUUGACGGGGACCCGCACAAGCAGUGGAGCGCCUGGUUUAAUUCGAUGGUCAGCGAAGAACCUCACCUAGGCUUGAACUGUAGCUGCACGCUCCCAGAAACGGGAGAAUCCUUCGAGGGUGCUACAGAGGUGCUGCAUGGCUGUCGUCAGCUCGUGUCGUGAGAUGUAGGGUUAAGUCCCACAACGAGCGCAACCCCUAUUCAGUGUUAUAAUUACUCUGAAGACUGCCCUGUCCAAACGGGGAGGAAGGAGGGGACGACGUCCAGUCAUCAUGUCCCUUAUGUCUAGGGCUACACAGACGCUACAAUGGCCGGUACAAUGGGUUGCCAAACCGCGAGGUGGAGCCAAUCCCAUCAAAGCCGGUCCCAGUUCGGAUUGCAGUCUGCAACUCGACUGCAUGAAGUUGGAAUUGCUAGUAAUCGCGAAUCAGCACGUCGCGGUGAUACGUUCUCGGGUCUUGUACACACCGCCCGUCAGGGCACGGGAGUCGCUCUUGCUCGAAGUUCCCGAAUAAUUCGGGACCGAAAGUUAAGGGUGGCAAC